This 271-nucleotide ribosomal RNA is filed under the name uncultured prokaryote. Its description in RNAcentral is "partial 16S ribosomal RNA". It matches the Rfam family "Bacterial small subunit ribosomal RNA", at positions 524 to 794 of the family's 1533-position model. The record is from RNAcentral.
UACGUAGGGGGCAAGCGUUAUCCGGAUUUACUGGGUGUAAAGGGAGCGCAGACGGCAGUGCAAGUCUGAUGUGAAAGCCCGGGGCUCAACCCCGGAACUGCAUUGGAAACUGUACAGCUUGAGUGUCGGAGAGGUAAGCGGAAUUCCUAGUGUAGCGGUGAAAUGCGUAGAUAUUAGGAGGAACACCGGUGGCGAAGGCGGCUUACUGGACGAUGACUGACGUUGAGGCUCGAAAGCGUGGGAAGCAAACAGGAUUAGAUACCCUGGUAGU